GUACACUCCUGCGGGAGGGCAGCAGUGAGGAAUAUUGGACAAUGGGUGGAAGCCUGAUCCAGCCAUCCCGCGUGCAGGAAGACGGCCCUAUGGGUUGUAAACUGCUUUUAUCUGGGGAUAAACCUACUUACGUGUAAGUAGCUGAAGGUACCAGAAGAAUAAGCACCGGCUAACUCCGUGCCAGCAGCCGCGGUAAUACGGAGGGUGCAAGCGUUAUCCGGAUUUAUUGGGUUUAAAGGGUCCGUAGGCGGACUGAUAAGUCAGUGGUGAAAUCCGACAGCUUAACUGUCGAACUGCCAUUGAUACUGUUAGUCUUGAGUAAGGUUGAAGUGGCUGGAAUAAGUAGUGUAGCGGUGAAAUGCAUAGAUAUUACUUAGAACACCAAUUGCGAAGGCAGGUCACUAAGUCUUAACUGACGCUGAUGGACGAAAGCGUGGGGAGCGAACAGGAUUAGAAACCCCAGUAGUCCC
This 470-nucleotide ribosomal RNA is filed under the name uncultured organism. RNAcentral's name for it is "partial 16S ribosomal RNA". It matches the Rfam family "Bacterial small subunit ribosomal RNA", at positions 331 to 797 of the family's 1533-position model. The record is from RNAcentral.